Molecule: signal recognition particle RNA, 298 nt
Filed under: Cebus imitator (Panamanian white-faced capuchin)
Lineage: Eukaryota; Metazoa; Chordata; Mammalia; Primates; Cebidae
Description: Metazoan signal recognition particle RNA (ENSCCAG00000012928.1)
Rfam family: Metazoan signal recognition particle RNA
About the family: The signal recognition particle (SRP) is a universally conserved ribonucleoprotein.
Source: RNAcentral
GCCAGGCGCGGUGGCGCGUGCCUCUAGUCCCAGCUACUCGGGAGGCUGAGGUGGGAGGAUCGCUUGAGCCCCAGAAUUCUGGACUGUAGUUCGCUAUGCGAUCGGGUGUCCACACCAAGUUUGUCAUCAAUAUGGUGACCUUCCGGAAGCAGGGGACCACCAGGUUGCCUAAGGAGGGGUGAACUAGCCCAGGUCCGAAACGGAGCAGGUCAAAACUCCGGUGGUGAUCAAUAGUGGGAUCGCGCCUGCGAACUGCCACUGCACUCCAGUCUGGGCAACAUAGCGAGACCCCAUCUCU